UGGUUCGGUCCGCGGGAGUGCGCUGAGUUCAGAGCGAAAAUCUGCGCUGAAUCUGUAUGGCUCAGCAUUGGACUAAUGGCUUAUCCUUCACACACAACUUUUCCGUUUUAACUUCAUCAGUGAAAUGAUUUCAUCACUGACAGCUGCUUGUUUUGGCGUGUUGCACCUCGAAAUUGAGCAAACCAGUUGCCGGUGGCUUUACCUGCUCUGAUAAGGAUAACUUACAGACAACUGCUGCAUGAUACACUGUAACCAGACUGACUUCCCUUUAAACUCACACAGAAGAGCAGAUCAGGACUAAACAUUUAAUGUUACAGGGCAUAAAGUUAGUGAAGCGUUGCGCAGCAGCACAGUGGCUCCCCCCUCAGGCCAGUCGCAGUACUGCAGCAGCACAUCUGCUUCAUGGCCACAAGUCUGAAACUCUGGAGUACAUGACUGUUACCAAACGGUGAGAAGGUAAACUUACAAUCAGGAGGCAGUGAGGUGAUGCAAAAGAGGUUUGACAUGGAGGUCAAAAGUCACCUGAUAACAGGCCCUGAGCUGCAGGACAGUAAGCAGCAAGCGGAGCGGAUGGUGGAGCUGCAGGAGCGUCGGAGAAGUCUGCAGUCGCUGCUUAACACUCGAUUAGCAGAACUCAAACGUGUGUGUCUGCAGGAGGCGGAAUUGACAGGUGAAGUUCCUCAUGAAUAUCCUCUGGAAACCGGAGAGAAAGUCCCUCAUGUGCGGCGCAGGGCCGGUCUGUCCCGCGGCGGCUCCAAACAUAACAUGAAAAAUGAGGAAGAGGACGCCUCUCAGCGCAAGACAAAGAAAACUCUGUUCAGUGGCGCCCUCCGCAGGCACGUCGAUUCAGAACAGCAUCCUCCACACAGCAAACGGACGGUUCACAGAGGAUGCCACACAGAUAACACAGUGAAGUCAGAGAGCAGCUCCACGUCGGAUUCCACCAAUCAGGACACUGAAGACGCCUCCGACGGCCUGUCACCCUCACGUCCCCGGCUGGUCUCGGGGAGCCCAGACAACAGGUUUUCUCGAAAACUCUCCCCUGUGGAGAUCUAUUACGAGAUGAAAACUCGCCGCAACUCUGUGGCCAGCUCAGCCAGCCCGAGUCACUCUCUUCCAAGAAGUAUGUCGAAUCUGGAAGGCAGAAGUGUACCGGCAACUCCACUCUUGUCCCGCAAUGGAAUAACAGGAGUGCACAUCAGGUCAGAAUCAUCUAGCGGCACUGCUGCUGUGAAGCAGUGGUCAGACAAUCCCGAGGCGCCUCAGCAGGUGCCUCUGCAGUCUCAGGAGGGGUCCUCCGCAGGGUCCUACGAGCAAGGGCACAGACGAAGCAAUAGCUCCGAGACGUUACUCGACCGGCACGGCACUGCAGUGGAGGAAGGAGGUCAAAGGUUAGGCAUGCCUGUACGAAACGGCCCGUACAAGAGCUCAGAAGCACUCAUGGACACAAGUUUAAAACAGGCGCAGCGGAGCAGCCCCGAACAGCAGGUAAACGGACACACCGAACUGGCCCGCGUUCGCUCGGCUGCGGGAGGUCGAGGAACGAACGGAGGUGGCGGUUACAGUGAGAUCCUCAUGGAUUAUGUUUGGGGAAAACAACAGAAGAUGCAAGCUCAGCAACAGCAAAGACUUCAGGUCCAAAAUAGUGCAAAAACCCGGCCGUGGCCCGAAGGUCCCAAUGCUCCACCGCCUCCCUACAGGAACGGCUUCCCCCAAUCGCAGCAGCUUAUCCUGGGCAACGGCCCUCCGGCCUACAGCCCGCUAAUGCUGAGAGGGAAGCCCGGCGAGCCUCGGAGGGUCAAAGUGACGCGCACCAAAUCCUGCGGCCCGUUCGUUCCCUUACAGCAGCACCAGCAAGAGUCCAUCCUGCUCUCUGCCUACACCGAAACCAACACCGCCAAUGGUAUCGGCAGUAACGCAAUGCAUAAUCAGCAGACAGACCACCCACACAGACCGCCCCACUACCCAAUCGAGUCCUCCGCACCCACAACCCCCGAUGACCCCACACGCAGCCUACACAAGGCCUUGGCGCUGGAGGGCUUGAGAGACUGGUAUCUGCGGAACGCACUGGGACAGCCAGCCAACGGAGGGAAGGGCAAAGAGGGGACGCAGACUCAGCGCAGGCGUACCACGUCCUCUCUGCACAACUCGCACCCCCAUCCGCCCCUAAAACACCAGCCGCAGUCCUUUCAAACGGACACGUCCUAUCCACAGAUGCCCCAGUCGGCCACAUUUCAUGGUCAUCCUCUACACGGCAGGUAAUUGCAGAAUGAAUUCAAAUCUACAUUCAUAUGACACAGGAACCAUCAGUUAAGAAACCCUUGAUUUCAAAAAAGGUCGAUGGAGCUUUCAUUGUACCAGGAUACCUUUUCAUCUAAAAUGCAGGAGAUGACACUUAAAGAGACCAGUAAUGACAGACCCACGCCAGGCACGCUGGUCUGACACGCAAACAAACAAUCUCACCCACACACACUCAUGCAAACUCAAAGAGACUACAGCAAACACCAGCUUACCUGUGUAUGAAAUGGCAGAGAGAAUGCCAUAGUGGACUUUCAAAGAGACUUUUUGCUUCCUUUCAGCAGUUAGAAUUGAAUAAUUCUGACAGAAAUCAGCCUAGCAUCCUUGUAAUACUAAUAUAUGCUAAGCUACCACUGACAUGGGACAAACACUUGUACUCAAGACCCUUUUCAGCAUGAGAUCAAGCUGUCUUCUAGUUUCACAUCUUUUCUCGGUUCCCGUAGACUUUUUAGAUAGUUCAGUAAAUUUCCCUUUUAAUCAGCAAAAGGUUAGUCAGAUAAAAGAGACGAUAUGUCACCAUAUUUCUAUUGGUAAACAAUAAUGCGAGUUCAUUCUAUCAAAUAUUUCCAGCCUUGGUAUAGAUUUGUCACAAAACAUAUACAAG
RNA transcript from Megalobrama amblycephala (Wuchang bream), 2902 nucleotides. It is a transcript of the gene named coiled-coil domain containing 120a, with no coding region annotated. The record is from RefSeq and is a predicted model, not a curated record. Lineage: Eukaryota; Metazoa; Chordata; Actinopteri; Cypriniformes; Xenocyprididae. The transcript has 11 exons.